UGGGGAAUAUUGCGCAAUGGGCGAAAGCCUGACGCAGCAACGCCGCGUGAGUGAUGAAGGCCUUCGGGUCGUAAAGCUCUGUCGGAGGGGAUGAAAUGCAGGUGGGUUCUCCCCAUCUGUUUGACAUAGCCUCAGAGGAAGGACGGGCUAAGUUCGUGCCAGCAGCCGCGGUAAGACGAACCGUCCAAACGUUAUUCGGAAUUACUGGGCUUAAAGGGUGCGUAGGCGGCGCGGAAAGUUGGGUGUGAAAUCCCUCGGCUCAACCGAGGAACUGCGCCCAAUACUACCGUGCUUGAGGGAGAUAGAGGUGAGCGGAACCUAGGGUGGAGCGGUGAAAUGCGUUGAUAUCCUAAGGAACACCGGUGGCGAAAGCGGCUCACUGGAUCUCUUCUGACGCUGAGGCACGAAAGCUAGGGUAGCGAACGGGAUUAGAUACCCCAGUAGUCCCUGAGCGGGCUGGCAAGGCGCAU
This 470-nucleotide ribosomal RNA is filed under the name uncultured bacterium. RNAcentral's name for it is "bacterial SSU rRNA". It matches the Rfam family "Bacterial small subunit ribosomal RNA", at positions 355 to 825 of the family's 1533-position model. The record is from RNAcentral.